Molecule: ribosomal RNA, 483 nt
Filed under: uncultured bacterium
Lineage: Bacteria
Description: partial 16S ribosomal RNA
Rfam family: Bacterial small subunit ribosomal RNA
Source: RNAcentral
AUUGAACGCUGGCGGCAGGCCUAACACAUGCAAGUCGAGCGGAUGAAGGGAGCUUGCUCCUGGAUUCAGCGGGGACGGGUGGGUAAUGCCUUGGAAUCUGCCUGGUAGUGGGGGAUAACGUCCGGAAACGGGCGCUAAUACCGCAUACGUCCUGAGGGAGAAAGUGGGGGAUCUUCGGACCUCACGCUAUCAGAUGAGCCUAGGUCGGAUUAGCUAGUUGGUGGGGUAAAGGCCUACCAAGGCGACGAUCCGUAACUGGUCUGAGAGGAUGAUCAGUCACACUGGAACUGAGACACGGUCCAGACUCCUACGGGAGGCAGCAGUGGGGAAUAUUGGACAAUGGGCGAAAGCCUGAUCCAGCCAUGCCGCGUGUGUGAAGAAGGUCUUCGGAUUGUAAAGCACUUUAAGUUGGGAGGAAGGGCAGUAAGUUAAUACCUUGCUGUUUUGACGUUACCAACAGAAUAAGCACCGGCUAACUUCGUG